Molecule: ribosomal RNA, 253 nt
Filed under: uncultured bacterium
Lineage: Bacteria
Description: partial 16S ribosomal RNA
Rfam family: Bacterial small subunit ribosomal RNA
Source: RNAcentral
UACGUAGGGACCGAGCGUUGUCCGGAAUCAUUGGGCGUAAAGAGCGUGUAGGCGGCUUGCUAAGUCUUGCGUGAAAUCUCGGGGCUCAACCCCGAGCGGUCGUGGGAAACUGGCAGGCUAGAGUGCGGGAGAGGAGAAUGGAAUUCCUGGUGUAGCGGUGAAAUGCGUAGAUAUCUGGAGGAAUACCGGUGGCGAAGGCGGCAUCCUGGACCGAAACUGACGCUUAAGCGCGAAAGCUAGGGGAGCAAACGGG